AGGAUCAUCAUUGCCAAGCGAUAACUUGGGCAGGAAGAGGGAAAAGGUAUCACACGUAGGUGCCUGGGGAUCUUGAUAUAAGAGUUUAGAUCCCGAUUUCUCAGGCUGUAAGCUCUUGUCUGCCUUUGUUCUGUAGGAGUGGAGAGAGAGCCUGCUUCAGAUGGAUUGGAGUGUGUCCAUCUCUAGCACAACAGGCUUACUGAAUGUCUGAGGAAGAGGUCAAGGUGGAGCUGAAGGCAGGGGGGGGAAACCUGUGAAGACCUUCUGCUAAGAAGGAGGAUAAAUGCAAAAUGAUCUUUGGUGCCUGUUGGUAUCUGGCCCUUCCUCUCUAAUUCUAGUCUUUUUAAUUCCUACCCAGGUGUUAGGUGAUCAUGUCUGAAGCAGUGACUUCUGGGGAUUAUUUAUCUUUCACUUUGGAUGUCUGAUCAGAAUAAAGCACCAUCUUAAAGCCAAGAAGUGAUAAUGAUGGAAAAUGGGCCAUGGCAUGAUGGAGGCAGCAACCCUUCCACCUGUUUGUAAAACACUGAAAAAAUUGCCUCAGAUAAGGAAGUGUCCUCCAGUGAGAAAGGAAUUAUUUCCCACCGACCACAUGAUAAAUGUACAGGAAAAGAAUAUCAGGACCCACAGGAGGGUAGAGUCACAGGAAAGAAGAAGCCUGGGCUCCUGAAGGCCUAGAGGAAAGACAUGGAACCGGAAAACCUUAAUUGGACUGUGAUGUACAUGAGAAACUAACUUCUAUUGUGUUAAGCAACUGGGAAUUCAGUAUUUAUCUGUUAGAACUGCUAGCAUUACCUUAGCGAAUACAAUUCCCUGCUGGGAAAUACUCCCUAAACACAAUUCUUCUCAAUCAAGAGGAAUUGAAAGGUUUGAGUGGCACUAAGUUCAAGGUUACAUUCCCUGACAACUAGCAGGAGUGCAAAUAUUCUCUGUUGCAGGGAAGUAGGGAGGUGUAGAGCCUUAUGUUUUAACAGUCACCCAAGGUGGGAGUAAGAUUAACAUACUCUUGUCAAAAUUGUGUCACCUUACAAGAACUCCUGCCUGAGUAGAAAGCUCUUAUAUCUCCUUUUGGAGAUAAGCCAGGAUGUACCUGUAGGUAAGGCCAAGAUUCUCUUCAGAAAGUCAUUUUGGAUCUACCUGAACACAUGGGACAAUGAUAACCAAGGCCACACAGCUUUGUACGGUGAAAUAUGCUCUAAUAAUUUUUGCCUGAAAGAAAAUGUAAAACAGCUAUAACCCUAUGACUGUUGUGCCCUUAAGAACAAAACAAA
RNAcentral lists this long non-coding RNA (1268 nucleotides) under Macaca mulatta (Rhesus monkey). RNAcentral's name for it is "lncRNA (ENSMMUG00000055689.1)". The record is from RNAcentral. Lineage: Eukaryota; Metazoa; Chordata; Mammalia; Primates; Cercopithecidae.